This 497-nucleotide ribosomal RNA is filed under the name uncultured bacterium. RNAcentral's name for it is "partial 16S ribosomal RNA". It matches the Rfam family "Bacterial small subunit ribosomal RNA", at positions 28 to 507 of the family's 1533-position model. The record is from RNAcentral.
GAUGAACGCUGGCGGCGUGCCUAAUACAUGCAAGUCGAGCGGACAGACGAGGAGCUUGCUCCUCUCACGUUUGCGGCGCACGGGUGAGUAACACGUGGAUAACCUCCCUAUAAGACUGGGAUCACUUCGGGAAACCGGAGAUAACACCGGAUAAUAUAUUGAACCGCAUGGUUCAUUAGUGAAUGACGGUUUUGCUGUCACUUAUAGAUGGAUCCGCGCCGCAUUAGCUAGUUGGUAAGGUAACGGCUUACCAAGGCAACGAUGCGUAUCCGACCUGAGAGGGGGAUCGGCCACACUGGAACGGAGACACGGUCCAGACUCCUAUGAGAGGCAGCAGUAGGGAAUCUUCGGCAAUAGGCGGAAGCCUGACGGAGCAACGCCGCGUGAGUGAUGAAAGUCUUCGGAUCGUAAAACUCGGUUAUGAGGGAAGAACAAAUGUGUAAGUAACUAUGCACGUCUUGACGGUACCUAAUCAGAAAGCCACGGCUAACUACGUG